Molecule: ribosomal RNA, 1382 nt
Filed under: Streptococcus thermophilus
Lineage: Bacteria; Bacillati; Bacillota; Bacilli; Lactobacillales; Streptococcaceae
Description: bacterial SSU rRNA
Rfam family: Bacterial small subunit ribosomal RNA
Source: RNAcentral
GACGAACGCUGGCGGCGUGCCUAAUACAUGCAAGUAGAACGCUGAAGAGAGGAGCUUGCUCUUCUUGGAUGAGUUGCGAACGGGUGAGUAACGCGUAGGUAACCUGCCUUGUAGCGGGGGAUAACUAUUGGAAACGAUAGCUAAUACCGCAUAACAAUGGAUGACACAUGUCAUUUAUUUGAAAGGGGCAAUUGCUCCACUACAAGAUGGACCUGCGUUGUAUUAGCUAGUAGGUGAGGUAAUGGCUCACCUAGGCGACGAUACAUAGCCGACCUGAGAGGGUGAUCGGCCACACUGGGACUGAGACACGGCCCAGACUCCUACGGGAGGCAGCAGUAGGGAAUCUUCGGCAAUGGGGGCAACCCUGACCGAGCAACGCCGCGUGAGUGAAGAAGGUUUUCGGAUCGUAAAGCUCUGUUGUAAGUCAAGAACGGGUGUGAGAGUGGAAAGUUCACACUGUGACGGUAGCUUACCAGAAAGGGACGGCUAACUACGUGCCAGCAGCCGCGGUAAUACGUAGGUCCCGAGCGUUGUCCGGAUUUAUUGGGCGUAAAGCGAGCGCAGGCGGUUUGAUAAGUCUGAAGUUAAAGGCUGUGGCUCAACCAUAGUUCGCUUUGGAAACUGUCAAACUUGAGUGCAGAAGGGGAGAGUGGAAUUCCAUGUGUAGCGGUGAAAUGCGUAGAUAUAUGGAGGAACACCGGUGGCGAAAGCGGCUCUCUGGUCUGUAACUGACGCUGAGGCUCGAAAGCGUGGGGAGCGAACAGGAUUAGAUACCCUGGUAGUCCACGCCGUAAACGAUGAGUGCUAGGUGUUGGAUCCUUUCCGGGAUUCAGUGCCGCAGCUAACGCAUUAAGCACUCCGCCUGGGGAGUACGACCGCAAGGUUGAAACUCAAAGGAAUUGACGGGGGCCCGCACAAGCGGUGGAGCAUGUGGUUUAAUUCGAAGCAACGCGAAGAACCUUACCAGGUCUUGACAUCCCGAUGCUAUUUCUAGACACUGGACUACGAUCAGCUACAUCGGUGACAGGUGGUGCAUGGUUGUCGUCAGCUCGUGUCGUGAGAUGUUGGGUUAAGUCCCGCAACGAGCGCAACCCCUAUUGUUAGUUGCCAUCAUUCAGUUAGCAUCGACUAGCCGACUGCCGGUAAUAAACCGGAGGAAGGUGGGGAUGACGUCAAAUCAUCAUGCCCCUUAUGACCUGGGCUACACACGUGCUACAAUGGUUGGUACAACGAGUUGCGAGUCGGUGACGGCGAGCUAAUCUCUUAAAGCCAAUCUCAGUUCGGAUUGUAGGCUGCAACUCGCCUACAUGAAGUCGGAAUCGCUAGUAAUCGCGGAUCAGCACGCCGCGGUGAAUACGUUCCCGGGCCUUGUACACACCGCC